RNAcentral lists this ribosomal RNA (497 nucleotides) under uncultured bacterium. RNAcentral's name for it is "partial 16S ribosomal RNA". It matches the Rfam family "Bacterial small subunit ribosomal RNA", at positions 28 to 507 of the family's 1533-position model. The record is from RNAcentral.
GAUGAACGCUGGCGGCGUGCCUAAUACAUGCAAGUCGAGCGAACGGACGAGAAGCUUGCUUCUCUGAUGUUAGCGGCGGACGGGUGAGUAACACGUGGAUAACCUACCUAUAAGACUGGGAUAACUUCGGGAAACCGUAGCUAAUACCGGAUAAUAUUUUGAACCGCAUGGUUCAAAAGUGAAAGACGGUCCUGCUGUCACUUAUAGAUGGAUCCGCGCUGCAUUAGCUAGUUGGUAAGGUAACGGCCUACCAAGACAACGAUGCAUAGCCGACCUGAGAGGGUGAUCCGCCCCACUGGAACUGAGACCCGGUCCCGACUCCUACGGGAGGCAGCCGUGGGGAAUAUUGCACAAUGGGCGAAAGCCUUAUCGAGCCAAGCCGCGUGUGUGAAGAAGGUCUUCGGAUUGUAAAACACUUUUAGUUGGGAGGAAGAGAAGUUAGUUAAAACUUUGCUGUUUUGACGGGUCCCAAAGAAGAAGCCCCGGCUAACUUCGUG